CAAGACGACGACGGGUAGCCGGCCUGAGAGGGCGACCGGMCACACUGGGACUGAGACACGGCCCAGACUCCUACGGGAGGCAGCAGUGGGGAAUAUUGCACAAUGGGGGAAACCCUGAUGCAGCGACGCAGCGUGCGGGAUGACGGCCUUCGGGUUGUAAACCGCUUUCAGCAGGGAAGAAGCGCAAGUGACGGUACCUGCAGAAGAAGUACCGGCUAACUACGUGCCAGCAGCCGCGGUAAUACGUAGGGUACGAGCGUUGUCCGGAAUUAUUGGGCGUAAAGAGCUCGUAGGYGGUUGGUCACGUCUGCUGUGGAAACGCAASGCUUAACGUUGCGCGSUGCAGUGGGUACGGGCUGACUAGAGUGCAGUAGGGGAGUCUGGAAUUCCUGGUGUAGCGGUGAAAUGCGCAGAUAUCAGGAGGAACACCGGUGGCGAAGGCGGGACUCUGGGCUGUAACUGACACUGAGGAGCGAAAGCAUGGGGAGCGAACAGGAUUAGAUACCCUGGUAGUCCAUGCCGUAAACGUUGGGCACUAGGUGUGGGGGGCAUUCCACGUUCUCCGCGCCGUAGCUAACGCAUUAAGUGCCCCGCCUGGGGAGUACGG
RNAcentral lists this ribosomal RNA (607 nucleotides) under Brevibacterium sp. CMT314. RNAcentral's name for it is "bacterial SSU rRNA". It matches the Rfam family "Bacterial small subunit ribosomal RNA", at positions 269 to 885 of the family's 1533-position model. The record is from RNAcentral. Lineage: Bacteria; Bacillati; Actinomycetota; Actinomycetes; Micrococcales; Brevibacteriaceae.